Molecule: non-coding RNA, 21 nt
Filed under: Arabidopsis thaliana (thale cress)
Lineage: Eukaryota; Viridiplantae; Streptophyta; Magnoliopsida; Brassicales; Brassicaceae
Source: RNAcentral
ACAAGGAUACAAUUCUUACGC